AUUGAUCGCUGGCGGCAUGCCUAACACAUGCAAGUCGAACGGCAGCACAGUAUGUAGCAAUACAUAUGGGUGGCGAGUGGCGGACGGGUGCGUAGUAUGUAGGGAUCUGCCCUGAAGCGGGGGACAACCCGGGGAAACCCGGGCUAAUACCGCAUAAUACUCUACGGAGGAAAUCUGGCACGCAAGUGCUGGGGCUUUAGGAUGAACCUACAUCCGAUUAGCUAGUUGGUGAGGUAAUAGCUCACCAAGGCAAUGAUCGGUAGCUUGUCUGAGAGGAUGACCAGCCACACUGGGACUGAGACACGGCCCAGACUCCUACGGGAGGCAGCAGUGGGGAAUAUUGGACAAUGGGGGAAACCCUGAUCCAGCAAUGCCGCGUGGGUGAAGAAGGCCUUCGGGUUGUAAAGCCCUUUAGGCGGGGAAGAAGGUUAUAGGGUGAUAAGCCUUAUAGCUUGACGGUACCCGCAGAAUAAGCACCGGCUAACUCUGUGCCAGCAGCCGCCGUAA
Molecule: ribosomal RNA, 507 nt
Filed under: uncultured bacterium
Lineage: Bacteria
Description: partial 16S ribosomal RNA
Rfam family: Bacterial small subunit ribosomal RNA
Source: RNAcentral